UGGGGAAUUGUUCGCAAUGGGCGCAAGCCUGACGACGCAACGCCGCGUGGAGGAUGAAGGUCUUCGGAUUGUAAACUCCUGUUGAUCGGGACGAACAACCAUCGGGAUAACACCCCGGAGGUCUGACGGUACCGAUUGAGGAAGCCCCGGCUAACUCUGUGCCAGCAGCCGCGGUAAUACAGAGGGGGCAAGCGUUGUUCGGAAUUACUGGGCGUAAAGGGCGCGUAGGCGGCCACCUAAGUCAGACGUGAAAUCCCUCGGCUCAACCGGGGAACUGCGUCUGAUACUGGGUGGCUUGAAUUCGGGAGAGGGAUGCGGAAUUCCAGGUGUAGCGGUGAAAUUCGUAGAUAUUCGGAAGAACACCAGUGGCGAAGGCGACUAACUGGACAUGUAUUGACGCUGAGGUGCGAAAGCGUGGGGAGCAAA
This 426-nucleotide ribosomal RNA is filed under the name uncultured bacterium. RNAcentral's name for it is "bacterial SSU rRNA". It matches the Rfam family "Bacterial small subunit ribosomal RNA", at positions 355 to 772 of the family's 1533-position model. The record is from RNAcentral.